This is a long non-coding RNA of Epinephelus fuscoguttatus (brown-marbled grouper), 363 nucleotides long. RefSeq lists it as uncharacterized. The transcript has 3 exons. Lineage: Eukaryota; Metazoa; Chordata; Actinopteri; Perciformes; Serranidae. The record is from RefSeq and is a predicted model, not a curated record.
GCUUUGAAAGCGCUCCGGCUUUGCUUUGAUGCGCUUGUUGCGGUCCAGCAUGUGCAGGAUGCCAUUCUGUGUGUAUCUGAAGAGUUGGGGAGGUCAAGGAACACAACAGGAGCAAAAGAAACACUUCAAGGUGCAGUCAGCUAACUAAAGACACUCCCUCAUGGGGCCAAUGAAAGACAACGGUCCCGUGUGUGUCAUCACGACCAAAAUCUGACAGCAGAGGUCUCUUUGUGGUACGGCCUGAGCGCUGACUGUGACCAGGUACUGAGUGCCCGGCUCCAGGCCUGUCAGUAAGGUAGAGUUCUGCUGGCUGGGUAAGGUCACGGUGCGGACGUGUCCACUUGGAAAAGCUCCAUACUCCAC